Molecule: ribosomal RNA, 497 nt
Filed under: uncultured bacterium
Lineage: Bacteria
Description: partial 16S ribosomal RNA
Rfam family: Bacterial small subunit ribosomal RNA
Source: RNAcentral
GAUGAACGCUGGCGGCGUGCCUAAUACAUGCAAGUCGAGCGAACAGAUAAGGAGCUUGCUCCUUUGACGUUAGCGGCGGACGGGUGAGUAACACGUGGGUAACCUACCUAUAAGACUGGAAUAACUCCGGGAAACCGGGGCUAAUGCCGGAUAACAUGUUGAACCGCAUGGUUCUACAGUGAAAGGCGGCUUUGCUGUCACUUAUAGAUGGACCCGCGCCGUAUUAGCUAGUUGGUGAGGUAACGGCUCACCAAGGCAACGAUACGUAGCCGACCUGAGAGGGUGAUAGGCCACACUGGAACUGAGACACGGUCCAGACUCCUACGGGAGGCAGCAGUAGGGAAUCUUCCGCAAUGGGCGAAAGCCUGACGGAGCAACGCCGCGUGAGUGAUGAAGGUCUUCGGAUCGUAAAACUCUGUUAUUAGGGAAGAACAAAUGCGUAAGUAACUGUGCGCGUCUUGACGGUACCUAAUCAGAAAGCCACGGCUAACUACGUG